This 253-nucleotide ribosomal RNA is filed under the name uncultured bacterium. Its description in RNAcentral is "partial 16S ribosomal RNA". It matches the Rfam family "Bacterial small subunit ribosomal RNA", at positions 524 to 776 of the family's 1533-position model. The record is from RNAcentral.
UACGUAGGGAGCAAGCGUUGUCCGGAAUCAUUGGGCGUAAAGCGCGCGUAGGCGGCCCUGUAAGUCCGUUGUGAAAGUCAAAGGCUCAACCUUUGAAAGCCGAUGGAUACUGCAGGGCUAGAGUCCGGAAGAGGCGAGUGGAAUUCCCGGUGUAGCGGUGAAAUGCGCAGAUAUCGGGAGGAACACCUAUGGCGAAGGCAGCUCGCUGGGACGUUACUGACGCUGAGACGCGAAAGCGUGGGGAGCGAACAGG